GCCGGGCGUGGUGGCGCACGCCUGUAAUCCCAGCUACUCUGGAGGCUGAGGUGGGAAGAUCGCUUGAGUCCAGGAGUUCUCGGCUGCAGUGCGCUAUGCCGAUCGGGUGUCCGCACUAAAUUCGGCAUCAAUAUAGUGACCUCCCGGGAGCGGGGGACCACCAGGUUGCCUAAGGAGGGGUGAACUGGCCCGGGUCGGAAACGGAGCAGGUCAAAAGUAUAUUAGUUGCUAGGGCUGUCCUACUCUGUAGUGCAGACUGGGUGGCUGAAACAAAACACAUUUGAU
Unclassified non-coding RNA from Fukomys damarensis (Damara mole-rat), 285 nucleotides. It matches the Rfam family "Metazoan signal recognition particle RNA". Rfam says of the family: The signal recognition particle (SRP) is a universally conserved ribonucleoprotein. It is involved in the co-translational targeting of proteins to membranes. The record is from Ensembl. Lineage: Eukaryota; Metazoa; Chordata; Mammalia; Rodentia; Bathyergidae.